AUUCCUCUGAGUUGCAUAUACACUAAAAUUGGAAUGAUAUGGAGUACAUUAGCAUGGCCCCUGUGCAAGGAUGACACGCAAAUUUGUGAAGCAUUCCAUAUUUUU
Molecule: small nuclear RNA, 105 nt
Organism: Tachyglossus aculeatus (Australian echidna)
Lineage: Eukaryota; Metazoa; Chordata; Mammalia; Monotremata; Tachyglossidae
Source: RefSeq, a predicted model, not a curated record